Molecule: long non-coding RNA, 97 nt
Organism: Lemur catta (Ring-tailed lemur)
Lineage: Eukaryota; Metazoa; Chordata; Mammalia; Primates; Lemuridae
Exons: 2
Source: RefSeq, a predicted model, not a curated record
AAGUUGCUGGGGUCACAGGCAUGAGCCACCGUGGCCAGCCAGGCGGCUUACUUUUCUCCUACUCCCUCGGUAUGAGUAAAGCCUGACAUGGAAAAUG